AUAGCUGAGCUUCAAAUACUCCCUACUUCUUUGCCGGUAGUGAUAUCCUUCUUAUCUCCUGCCCAGGUAGAGAGAGGUGGGUGAAAGGAAUGAUGGUUUACAUGGCUUGGUUGAUUUGGAGUGCUGAGAAUUGCAGAAGAUCUUGGAUUACUGAUCUGUCUUCUUGCAGGGUGGCUCAACUCCCUUUGUUUAAAGAAUAUCUUGGCUUGGAAACAGUUGUUCCCAACAUGACGUGGUUUCCCAAGUGUUUCGUGAAGAAAAUAGGGCUGCCGAUGGCUAUCCAAGAUGGCACUCCAGGUGGAUGGUUUAUUCCGUCAUGGUGGUCUUCUUCCUUCAGAGUUUGCCCAUAUUUU
This 353-nucleotide long non-coding RNA is filed under the name Phoenix dactylifera (date palm). Its description in RNAcentral is "long non-coding RNA (PDAC_LNC006257)". The record is from RNAcentral. Lineage: Eukaryota; Viridiplantae; Streptophyta; Magnoliopsida; Arecales; Arecaceae.